AGCGAACGCUGGCGGCAGGCUUAACACAUGCAAGUCGAACGGUCCUUCGGGAUAGUGGCGGACGGGUGAGUAACACGUGGGAACGUACCCUUAGGUUCGGAACAACACAGGGAAACUUGUGCUAAUACCGGAUAAGCCCUUCGGGGGAAAGAUUUAUCGCCUUUGGAGCGGCCCGCGUCCGAUUAGCUUGUUGGUGAGGUAAUGGCUCACCAAGGCCACGAUCAGUAGCUGGUCUGAGAGGAUGGCCAGCCACACUGGGACUGAGACACGGCCCAGACUCCUACGGGAGGCAGCAGUGGGGAAUCUUGCGCAAUGGGCGAAAGCCUGACGCAGCCAUGCCGCGUGGAUGAUGAAGGUCUUAGGAUUGUAAAAUCCUUUCACCGGGGACGAUAAUGACGGUACCCGGAGAAGAAGCCCCGGCUAACUUCGUGCCAGCCGCCGCAGUAA
Molecule: ribosomal RNA, 447 nt
Filed under: uncultured bacterium
Lineage: Bacteria
Description: partial 16S ribosomal RNA
Rfam family: Bacterial small subunit ribosomal RNA
Source: RNAcentral